RNAcentral lists this long non-coding RNA (232 nucleotides) under Elaeis guineensis (African oil palm). RNAcentral's name for it is "long non-coding RNA (EGUI_LNC063098)". Lineage: Eukaryota; Viridiplantae; Streptophyta; Magnoliopsida; Arecales; Arecaceae. The record is from RNAcentral.
CCUCUUGCUCUUGACCUACACAUCAAGAGCCGAAAUAGUCUCAUGAGUCGAUUUAUGUUCGGCCCCCGAGGAUGCCAAGUUGUCGGUAAGUCGGAAAACCUCCUCCUGAAGUUUAGCUUCCCACUCCACCACCGACUUGAGUUGUUCAAGCAUGAUCGCCUUCUCAGCAUCAGCGGCCACCACCUUAUUCUUCCACGCACUCUGAAUGUUGGCAAACUUUAUGUAGCCAGUC